GGGUUGUGAGGUUAAGCGACUAAGCGUACACGGUGGAUGCCCUGGCAGUCAGAGGCGAUGAAGGACGUGCUAAUCUGCGAUAAGCGUCGGUAAGGUGAUAUGAACCGUUAUAACCGGCGAUUUCCGAAUGGGGAAACCCAGUGUGAUUCGUCACACUAUCAUUAACU
Molecule: ribosomal RNA, 167 nt
Filed under: Escherichia coli
Lineage: Bacteria; Pseudomonadati; Pseudomonadota; Gammaproteobacteria; Enterobacterales; Enterobacteriaceae
Description: partial 23S ribosomal RNA
Rfam family: Bacterial large subunit ribosomal RNA
Source: RNAcentral